GACGAACGCUGGCGGCGUGCCUAAUACAUGCAAGUUGAGCGCUGAAGGUUGGUACUUGUACCAACUGGAUGAGCAGCGAACGGGUGAGUAACGCGUGGGGAAUCUGCCUUUGAGCGGGGGACAACAUUUGGAAACGAAUGCUAAUACCGCAUAAAAACUUUAAACACAAGUUUUAAGUUUGAAAGAUGCAAUUGCAUCACUCAAAGAUGAUCCCGCGUUGUAUUAGCUAGUUGGUGAGGUAAAGGCUCACCAAGGCGAUGUUACAUAGCCGACCUGAGAGGCUGAUCGGCCACAUUGGGACUGAGACACGGCCCAAAGUCCUACGGGAGGCAGCAGUAGGGAAUCGUCGGCAAGGGACGGAAGUCUGACCGAGCAACGCCGAGGGAGUGAAGAAGGUUGUCGGAUCGUAAAACUCGGUUGGUAGAGAAGAACGUUGGUGAGAGUGGAAAGCUCAUCAAGUGACGGUAACUACCCAGAAAGGGACGGCUAACUACGUG
RNAcentral lists this ribosomal RNA (497 nucleotides) under uncultured bacterium. RNAcentral's name for it is "partial 16S ribosomal RNA". It matches the Rfam family "Bacterial small subunit ribosomal RNA", at positions 28 to 507 of the family's 1533-position model. The record is from RNAcentral.